This 483-nucleotide long non-coding RNA is filed under the name Brassica napus (rape). RNAcentral describes it as "long non-coding RNA (BNAP_LNC004593)". The record is from RNAcentral. Lineage: Eukaryota; Viridiplantae; Streptophyta; Magnoliopsida; Brassicales; Brassicaceae.
AUGGCAUAAACGAUAGUAAUAUUCAAGGGUUACGGGUGAAGAUGGCAGCAGAUAUCCUCGAGGAAGGAGGAAAUGUUGGAAUGAACAAUUUGUUGUCAAAAUGAAACUGUGUUUGUUUGUGAACCUGUGUUUGUUGUUAUGUUAACUAUUUGACUUUGGAUAUUAUAUGUCAGUCUUUUCGUUUUUAUAACCCAGCCCUGUCAUAGAUGAGUAACUAAGCCAAACCCCAAAUAGUCCCUAAAAACGAAAACUGCUGUAAUAACUCAGUCGUAUCGAUUAGUAAUACUCAGCCAGUACUCAUUGAUAACUCAGUCAUACCUCAAACAUACCCUAGAAUCAAAAUAAUUAAUAAUUUUUCAUUCGAAUGUUAUAUAUAAAGUCCAAUUAUCAAAAUAAUUAAUAAUAACUCAAUGUGUGAGCAUGAUCUUUGUUGACUAUACGAGUUUGGAAUCGAUUAUAAUCUUGAGGUAUAUGUUGUCUCUU